This 1308-nucleotide ribosomal RNA is filed under the name Chryseobacterium ginsenosidimutans. Its description in RNAcentral is "bacterial SSU rRNA". It matches the Rfam family "Bacterial small subunit ribosomal RNA", at positions 213 to 1533 of the family's 1533-position model. RNAcentral also lists the same sequence under 1 other name. The record is from RNAcentral. Lineage: Bacteria; Pseudomonadati; Bacteroidota; Flavobacteriia; Flavobacteriales; Weeksellaceae.
CGGUGGAUAGAGAUGGGCACGCGCAAGAUUAGAUAGUUGGUAGGGUAACGGCCUACCAAGUCAAUGAUCUUUAGGGGGCCUGAGAGGGUGAUCCCCCACACUGGUACUGAGACACGGACCAGACUCCUACGGGAGGCAGCAGUGAGGAAUAUUGGACAAUGGGUGAGAGCCUGAUCCAGCCAUCCCGCGUGAAGGACGACGGCCCUAUGGGUUGUAAACUUCUUUUGUAUAGGGAUAAACCUUUCCUCGUGAGGAAAGCUGAAGGUACUAUACGAAUAAGCACCGGCUAACUCCGUGCCAGCAGCCGCGGUAAUACGGAGGGUGCAAGCGUUAUCCGGAUUUAUUGGGUUUAAAGGGUCCGUAGGCGGAUCUGUAAGUCAGUGGUGAAAUCUCAUAGCUCAACUAUGAAACUGCCAUUGAUACUGCAGGUCUUGAGUAAGGUAGAAGUAGCUGGAAUAAGUAGUGUAGCGGUGAAAUGCAUAGAUAUUACUUAGAACACCAAUUGCGAAGGCAGGUUACUAUGUCUUAACUGACGCUGAUGGACGAAAGCGUGGGGAGCGAACAGGAUUAGAUACCCUGGUAGUCCACGCCGUAAACGAUGCUAACUCGUUUUUGGGCUUUCGGGUUCAGAGACUAAGCGAAAGUGAUAAGUUAGCCACCUGGGGAGUACGUUCGCAAGAAUGAAACUCAAAGGAAUUGACGGGGGCCCGCACAAGCGGUGGAUUAUGUGGUUUAAUUCGAUGAUACGCGAGGAACCUUACCAAGGCUUAAAUGGGAAUUGAUCGGUUUAGAAAUAGACCUUCCUUCGGGCAAUUUUCAAGGUGCUGCAUGGUUGUCGUCAGCUCGUGCCGUGAGGUGUUAGGUUAAGUCCUGCAACGAGCGCAACCCCUGUCACUAGUUGCCAUCAUUCAGUUGGGGACUCUAGUGAGACUGCCUACGCAAGUAGAGAGGAAGGUGGGGAUGACGUCAAAUCAUCACGGCCCUUACGCCUUGGGCCACACACGUAAUACAAUGGCCAGUACAGAGGGCUGCUACCAGGCGACUGGAUGCUAAUCUCGAAAGCUGGUCUCAGUUCGGAUUGGAGUCUGCAACUCGACUCUAUGAAGCUGGAAUCGCUAGUAAUCGCGCAUCAGCCAUGGCGCGGUGAAUACGUUCCCGGGCCUUGUACACACCGCCCGUCAAGCCAUGGAAGUCUGGGGUACCUGAAGUCGGUGACCGUAACAGGAGCUGCCUAGGGUAAAACAGGUAACUAGGGCUAAGUCGUAACAAGGUAGCCGUACCGGAAGGUGCGGCUGGAACAUCUCAUUU